RNAcentral lists this ribosomal RNA (518 nucleotides) under Laxotela metzi. RNAcentral describes it as "partial 16S ribosomal RNA". It matches the Rfam family "Bacterial large subunit ribosomal RNA", at positions 1810 to 2603 of the family's 2925-position model. Lineage: Eukaryota; Metazoa; Arthropoda; Insecta; Diptera; Therevidae. The record is from RNAcentral.
AAAACAUGUCCUUUAGAAUUUAAUUUAAGGUCUAGCCUGCCCACUGAUUUAAAUGGCCGCAGUAUUUUAACUGUGCAAAGGUAGCAUAAUCAUUAGUCUUUUAAUUGAAGGCUUGUAUGAAUGGUUGGACGAGAUAUUAGCUGUUUCAUGGAAAUUUAUUUAGAAUUUUAUUUUUUAGUUAAAAAGCUAAAAUUUUUUUAAAAGACGAGAAGACCCUAUAGAUCUUUAUAAUUCAUUUGUUAUAAUUAUUUAGAUAAGUUAAGUUAUUACAAUUUUAAUUAUUUUGUUGGGGUGACAUUAAAAUUUAAUUAACUUUUAAUAUAUUUUUACAUUGAUGUAUGAUUAUUUGAUCCAUUAUUAAUGAUUAUAAAAUUAAGUUACCUUAGGGAUAACAGCGUAAUUUUUUUGAAGAGUUCAUAUCGAUAAAAAAGAUUGCGACCUCGAUGUUGGAUUAAGAUAUAAUUUUGGGUGCAGCAAUUCAAUAAUUAAGUCUGUUCGACUUUUAAUUUCUUACAUGA